This 2320-nucleotide long non-coding RNA is filed under the name Homo sapiens (human). Its description in RNAcentral is "HSALNT0357965". Lineage: Eukaryota; Metazoa; Chordata; Mammalia; Primates; Hominidae. The record is from RNAcentral.
CCAUUAUAUUUCUGAGUUUUAGAAUUUAAUUCUUCAUUGUCUAUCUGGAAAUAGUUGCAGAAUCCUCAGAAAAUAUCACUUAUAGAAGGGUAUUAAUAUAAGAAAUACAACUUCCUUGUGCAAAGGCUCUUAAAGUUACUAAAGGGCGUCUAAGUAUGCAAAUCGUCUUAGAAUGCAGGGUAAUGGUCAUUUGAAGACAUUUGAAUACUUUCAUCCACUGUGACUCUGAGUUAGGAAGUAGACAGUGGGGGUUAAGGAAAGAUUGAGUAUUAUCUUGAUUGGAAUUUCAAGACAGGAAAGUCUAAUCCCUUUCUUGUAAAAGACAUCUCGAUGGAUUUCAACUAACCUUGAGAAACGAAUCAGAAUACCUACUCAAACCAGAGCUAAAGAGAAAGUGUUUUUUUUUUUUUUCUUUCUAAAAACCAGGUGUUGAGCUCCUUGGUAACCCAAUACUGGGUGCGCGCGCGCAGAGUGGCCAGACCCCUCUCCACGCAGCUCUGGCUCUUUUUAAUUCGGCAAGUGCACUCACAGCAGAACUGCCACCAGUAUAACGUCUUGACGAUGGGCUCCAGGGUUUGACACUCCGCAGCGCCACCAGCUCUGUUUUCUCCCCAAGUAAGCCACUCUACCUCGCGAGCAGCAGAUCGCCCUGUGCGCGCUACAAUCCGUGGGGCGGGGAGACCUGGCGCUCACCCAGCGAGCUCGACUGGUGCUGACGUCCAUUCAGGCCUUUAAAUGUCUCUGUCCCUGCGCAGGAGGGAACGGACUUUGUAGCAGUCACUUUGCCCGAAGGGCGACGCGUCUCUGCUUUUGCAGGCGGCAGCUCGGACUCCCCUCACUCUUCCCAGCGUUGCGUUUGCCUCUGUCUUUGCCUCGAGUUCCCCGCAGCCUCUCCAGCGGGAGGCGCUUUUGGUAUUCGUACCCUGGGCAUGAACCAACAGGACUCCCCAUGCCCUGUGCUUUUUCAGUGGGUUCGAAGAUCAGAGAUUGCGAGGUGCUCUGGGUGAUCGCUCAAGGAGCAGGGAGCUUCCUCCCCCUGAUUUUGGUAGGGGGUGAUUUUUUUUUUACCCCGAAAAGCGUCCUCCCCGCUCCUGAAGCUGCAACUUGUUUUGGUUUCUUCUCAGUCCUGUGUGUGGUUACAACAUCAAAGUUUUUCUCCCUUACCCUUCCAAAAAUCUAUCCUUUUAAUCCACCCUCCUCCCCCCGCGCUAUCUCCGCCAGGCCUUCUCGCUGUGCGGUGAGUGGAUAGCGGGCGCGCAGUGUGGCAGUGGCGGCGAAGAUUGGCGCUAUCAGGAGGAGCAAAAGGGAAGGAUCUGCUGCUGGGGGCUCGCUGGGUGACCCUUUGCCAGACGAAAAGAGCUGGUCGAGAGAGAAGCGCUUGGCAGGAGCUCUCUGCGGGACCUAAGCUCCGUGGCUGCUCGGGAUCCCUACGUCCGCUGCUGCUGAAGGAGCAGAGGGGAGGACGCCAGCGGUUGCUUACUGGAGCCUGGAGGAAAAUGGAAACAUCAUUCCCUAGAAACAGUUGAAGUUGACAGACCUAGAGGUUGACAAAAGGACACGACACUAGGUUUUUUGGGAUCCUCAACAGAUUGGAUAAUGCUCAUCUGCAUUGAUGAGGGAGUUCCUGCUCACUCAGUCUAUUGAUGAAUUUGCAUUGUCAUGUUUCGAAAUACCAUUCCAAAGACCUGCAAAUAAGGGGAGGUGAAUGACAAGAAGAUGGUGCAAAAAGGAAUUUAAGAAAUAAAAAUCCAUGAAAACAGACAUAAGGGAAAGAUUCAGCAUGGUCUCUACAAUAAUCAUCACUUUAUAUUCAUCAUGGCAUUGCCAGUAUUUAUGAAUAUGGACAUGUUUGAAUGCAGUUAUUAACAGGGAAUGUAUACUAUUUGUCUUCAACUUUAAAAUUUUGACAGCUGGCAGGCGCGGUGGCUCACGCCUGUAAUCCCAGCACUUUGGGAGGCCGAGGCGGGAGGAUCACGAGGUCAGGAGAUCGAGACCAUCCUGGCUAACAUGGUGAAACCCCGUCUCUACUAAAAAUGCAAAAAAUUAGCUGGGCGUGGUGGUGGGCGCCUGUAGUCCCAGCUACUCCGGAGGCUGAGGCAGGAGAAUGGCGUGAACCCAGGAGGCGGAGCUUGCAGUGAGCCCAGACAGCGCCGCUGCACUCCCGCCUGGGCGAAAGAGCAAGACUCCAUCUCAAAAAAAAAAAAGAAAAUUUUUUUGACAGCUUAUUUUGUUUAUUACCACUUUUUAAUAUGUUUCAUAAUUAGUACUUCAAGAGCUAUAUAACUAUCCUUAAAAUUAUGUAAUGAAAUUUAUAUAUCCA